Molecule: ribosomal RNA, 1365 nt
Filed under: Marinobacter sp. enrichment culture clone Aspi1
Lineage: Bacteria; Pseudomonadati; Pseudomonadota; Gammaproteobacteria; Pseudomonadales; Marinobacteraceae
Description: partial 16S ribosomal RNA
Rfam family: Bacterial small subunit ribosomal RNA
Source: RNAcentral
GACGAGCGGCGGANGGGUGAGUAAUGCAUAGGAAACUGCCCNGUANUGGGGGAUAGCCCGGGGAAACCCGGAUUAAUACCNCGUACGCCCUUCGGGGGAAAGCAGGGGAUCUUCGGACCUUGCGCUAUUGGAUGUGCCUAUGUCGGAUUAGCUAGUUGGUGGGGUAAAGGCCUACCAAGGCGACGAUCCGUAGCUGGUCUGAGAGGAUGAUCAGCCACAUCGGGACUGAGACACGGCCCGAACUCCUACGGGAGGCAGCAGUGGGGAAUAUUGGACAAUGGGGGCAACCCUGAUCCAGCCAUGCCGCGUGUGUGAAGAAGGCUUUCGGGUUGUAAAGCACUUUCAGUGAGGAGGAAAACUCUGCGACUAAUACUCGUAGGGCUUGACGUUACUCACAGAAAAAGCACCGGCUAACUCCGUGCCAGCAGCCGCGGUAAUACGGAGGGUGCAAGCGUUAAUCGGAAUUACUGGGCGUAAAGCGCGCGUAGGUGGUUUGAUAANCGAGAUGUGAAAGCCCCGGGCUUAACCUGGGAACGGCAUUUCGAACUGUCAGGCUAGAGUAUGGNANANGGNNNNUNGAANUUUCCUGUGUANCGGUGAAAUGCGUAGAUAUAGGAAGGAACACCAGUGGCGAAGGCGGCUACCUGGACCAAUACUGACANUGAGGUGCGAAAGCGUGGGGAGCAAACAGGAUUAGAUACCNUGGUAGUNCACGCCGUAAACGAUGUNUNCUAGCCGUUGGGACUCUUGANGUNUUAGUGGCGCAGCUAACGCACUAAGUAGACCGCNUGGGGAGUACGGCCGCAAGGUUAAAACUCAAAUGAAUUGACGGGGGCCCGCACAAGCGGUGGAGCAUGUGGUUUANUUCGACGCAACGCGAAGAACCUUACCUGGCCUUGACAUGCAGAGAACUUUCCAGAGAUGGAUUGGUGCCUUCGGGAACUCUGACACAGNUGCUGCAUGGCCGUCGUCAGCUCGUGUCAUGAGAUGUUGGGUUAAGUCCCGUAACGAGCGCAACCCCUAUCCCUAGUUGCUAGCAGUUCGGUUGAGAACUCUAGGGAGACNGCCGGUGACAAACCGGAGGAAGGUGGGGAUGACGUCAGGUCAUCAUGGCCCUUACGGCCAGGGCUACACACCUGCUACAAUGGUGCGCACAGAGGGCUGCAAACCCGCGAGGGGGANNCNAUNNUCACAAAACGCAUCGUAGUCCGGAUCGCAGUCUGCAACUCGANUGCGUGAAGUCGGAAUCGCUAGUAAUCGUGAAUCAGAAUGUCACGGUGAAUACGUUCCCGGGCCUUGUACACACCGCCCGUCACACCAUGGGAGUGGAUUGCACCAGAAGUGGUUAGUCUANCCUUCGGGAGG